CAGCACAGGAGAAGUCAGUCUAGUCAGUCUGUCGACACUCCUCCCCACCCUCGUCGUCUGUGAAAAACAGCCCAUUCAAGCCAAAACAAACGAUCGCCACCAAAACAAAAGAUCGCCAGCCCCGCCCGCUCCUCUCCCCCCGCCCGACGCAAAUAAUCAACACAAGGUCAUUAUCAUCGUUCCAGUGGUUUGCCUCUGCAGGUUGAUGAAACAGAUACAACGCUUGAUCUGAGCCCUAGGACCAUGCCUCAAGACUACCUGCCAUGAUGACUCCUUGCUGUCCCCAGUCCACCUGGCCGUGCUGCUGCUCCAGUUUCAACUGUUCUGC
Long non-coding RNA from Oncorhynchus tshawytscha (Chinook salmon), 328 nucleotides. NCBI's taxonomy places the organism in Eukaryota, Metazoa, Chordata, Actinopteri, Salmoniformes, Salmonidae. The record is from Ensembl.